This is a long non-coding RNA of Gorilla gorilla gorilla (western lowland gorilla), 690 nucleotides long. RefSeq lists it as uncharacterized. The transcript has 3 exons. Lineage: Eukaryota; Metazoa; Chordata; Mammalia; Primates; Hominidae. The record is from RefSeq and is a predicted model, not a curated record.
GAAGCCAGCUUCCCCUGGAAAACAACCACAUUCUGCCCUACUUUCUCAUGUCUAUGUGGCCCUCCCUGAGUGGGAAGCUUAAGUUUUGUAAGAUUGACCAUAAGUGUGGUGAUAUUUCCUUAUUCCAGGGAAUGGAGCUAGUCAUGCCACACAUCUUUGCUGUUCUCACGAACUGAGAUUCUUCUUAUGUUGCUAUUUUGAACUCCUGAACUCAAGUGAUCCUCCUGCCUUGGCCUCCCAAAGUGCUGGGAUUACAGGCCUGAGCCACUGCACCCUGCCCAAGGUCCUUCUACACUGGGCUAAAUGACAACAUGGUAGCUGACUUCCCACAGAAAGAGAGAACAAAGAAAGCAGGAGCGAGAAAGUGAGAGUAAGAGACAGAACAAGAGAGAGUGAGCAAGAAAAUGUGCAACCAUGUGCACCCAAAUGUGCACUGAAGACAGAAGUCACAAUCUUUCUGUGAUCUAAUCUUGAAGUGACAUCUCAUCAUUUUUUCAUAUUUGUUAGAAGCAAGUCAACUUCAGCACAUAACCAAGGAGAGAAAAUUACACAAGGGUGUGAAAUACCAGAACCAUGGCUCGUUGUGAUCCAUCCUAGGGAGUAUUUGAUGCACUGUCCUGGGCAAAUGGCAGAAAUAAAUUCCAUAUCAAACCACCUUCACCUCUAUCCUUCAAUUUCUACUUGGUAAGG